RNAcentral lists this ribosomal RNA (492 nucleotides) under uncultured bacterium. Its description in RNAcentral is "partial 16S ribosomal RNA". It matches the Rfam family "Bacterial small subunit ribosomal RNA", at positions 29 to 507 of the family's 1533-position model. The record is from RNAcentral.
AGUGAACGCUGGCGGUAGGCCUAACACAUGCAAGUCGAACGGCAGCACAGUAAGAGCUUGCUCUUACGGGUGGCGAGUGGCGGACGGGUGAGGAAUACAUCGGAAUCUACUUUUUCGUGGGGGAUAACGUAGGGAAACUUACGCUAAUACCGCAUACGACCUACGGGUGAAAGCAGGGGAUCUUCGGACCUUGCCCGAUUGAAUGAGUCGAUGUCGGAUUAACUAGUUGGCGGGGUAAAGGCCCACCAAGGCGAGGAUCCGUAGCUGGUCUAAGAGGAUGAUCAGCCACACUGGAACUGAGACACGGUCCAGACUCCUACGGGAGGCAGCAGUGGGGAAUAUUGGACAAUGGGCGCAAGCCUGAUCCAGCCAUACCGCGUGGGUGAAGAAGGCCUUCGGGUUGUAAAGCCCUUUUGUUGGGAAAGAAAAGCAGCAGGUUAAUACCCCGCUGUUCUGACGGUACCCAAAGAAUAAGCACCGGCUAACUUCGUG